RNAcentral lists this long non-coding RNA (1198 nucleotides) under Oryctolagus cuniculus (rabbit). Its description in RNAcentral is "lncRNA (ENSOCUG00000037869.1)". The record is from RNAcentral. Lineage: Eukaryota; Metazoa; Chordata; Mammalia; Lagomorpha; Leporidae.
CGCCGCCCGCAGGGAUGGUGCGGAGCCUGCCCAGGCUGCGCUCCAGGCUGCCAGGCGGUUUCCCCCGCGCUUGCAGACUCCGGUCCCAAGUCAGCGGGCUCACCUUGCGGGCGCCUGCAGCACGCGCCGGGCUCUGAAGCUGCGCGCAAACUUCUCCCGACUUCAGCGCAGCCCGCCCCGCCCGCCUCUCCACGCAGCCCAGGCGGCGGCGGCUGCAGCGAGGGCGCGCCAGCUCCUCCCGGGCCCUCCAGCCCCUCCCGGCCCUCCCCUCCGCGCCUCUCCCCUCCCCUCAGUCCCUCCCGGCCCGGGAGAGGGAGGGGCGAGCUGCCGAGCUCUGCGCGCCUCCUCGCCAGCCCCUGCCCCGGCCCCGGCCCGCGAUGGGGCUGCGCUCCGCCGCUGCCCGGCCGAGGGCCAGGCGGGGCUCACCCUCGCGUCCUGGGGCCGAUAGCGGGGCGCGCACCCACUCUUAGCAGGCGAGGGACCCCCGUGGAGGCCCGAAAGGAGACUGCGGUCCGGGCUGGGAGAUUUCCAACUUGUCCCUGGAGACAGCUUUGUGGGCGCCCCGUCCGCUCCCCGGAGGAUGCAAAUUUCGGAGGGUGGGGUGCUGGGGGCUAUGGAAGCCGCAUCCUCUUUGUCCGGCGAGGUGGCUGCGCACCGUCGAGGUUGCUAAUACUGUCCCUGGGCAAAAGGAAUCCUAACAGCAACAUAACAGGAGCGGGAGAAAGCCGGACGGCAGAGCGGCACGCUUCCCCCAGCGGUCCCAAGAUUCCCUUAAGCAGAAAGGGCGGUUGGCAGGCGAGAUGGAGGCGUCCCCUGCACCGGGCUGCAGCCUGCACCCGUCCAGCCCAGGGGCCCCUCCCUGGAAAGGCGGUGGCUGAAGGUGUGGAUAUGGAAGAGCAGCUUUUGUGUGCAAACUCCACUUCUGUCCCCAAACCGUCCAUUCUCCUUGCUGAGGACGUGAAGUCCUGCCCUGUAGAAAGGGCUUGUGAGGGGUGGGCAUCUGGUCUACAGGUUUGAAUCCCAGCUCUGCAACAUAUUGUAGCUUCCUGCUAAUGCACACCCCACCAGGAGGCAGCAGGUGACAUCUGCAUGGGAGACCUGAGUCCAGUUCCCAUGGAGGGCACCAGCAUAUGAGAUCUCUCUUUGCCGCUCUAAAUACAUAAAUAAAUAAAAUUUUAAAAGGUUUUGUGAGUUCUUG